RNAcentral lists this ribosomal RNA (253 nucleotides) under uncultured bacterium. RNAcentral describes it as "partial 16S ribosomal RNA". It matches the Rfam family "Bacterial small subunit ribosomal RNA", at positions 524 to 776 of the family's 1533-position model. The record is from RNAcentral.
UACGUAGGUGGCAAGCGUUGUCCGGAUUUAUUGGGUUUAAAGGGUGCGUAGGUGGUUUGCUAAGUCAGUGGUGAAAGCUGGUUGCUCAACAAUCAAGUUGCCAUUGAUACUGUCAGACUUGAGAGAAGUGGAGGUUCAUGGAAUGGAUGGUGUAGCGGUGAAAUGCAUAGAUAUCAUCCAGAACGUCGAUUGCGAAGGCAGUGGGCUGUACUUUUUCUGACACUGAGGCACGAAAGCGUGGGGAUCAAACAGG